AUGACGAACACAUUCACGAUGUGUCCCGGCACCGGAACGAGCCAUAUCCUUCUUCCUAGGGCGGCGCCGGGCUACGCAGGCUCCAAGCGGACGCUGGCUGUGUACGACCCUGCAGCGGCACAGCAACGGGCCGAUGCGGUCAGACUCUCUGCGGACGCCGGUGCACUGGUGCCAUCACCCGUGGGCGUGGCCGACGAACCCAUCAAGGCAGUGCCGCAGGCUGCCGCCGCUCCCAAGCAGAGAGCUGAGCCGCCGGGGAUACGCGCACCCAAGGGCCUGCUCGCGCACCUGAGCCUCCGCGUCGACCUGCCCGUGCACUUCAUCGACGAGAAAACCGUGACCGCCACCGACGUGGAUCCGCAGCAGAACCGGUUCCGCCUCCCAAUCGACGGCGUGAUACGCAACCUGCGCCCGGUCCUCUCCCACCUAGAUCGCCAGGCCGCCAACCUGGUGCACGUGGAAGCCCCGAGACCAAGGCUGCCGAAGCUACCCAAGGUUCCUGGGGAGAAGACGAAGAAGAGAAGGGGAAGGGAGCACGGCGGCCUUCCCGUGCUCGUGAUCGAGCGCGACGCCGGCAUCAGGGAGCUGCAGCUGACGCGGUGGGAGAGCAGCGGCGUCUGCGUCAUCAAGGGAGAGGGGUACAUGGACUUCAUCAACAACUGCGGCUUCAGUGUGGGUGACGUGGUGGAGAUCUGGGCUUUCAAGCAGAAAGCCUUGCGUUUGUUCGGCGUGGAUAUCUACGAGGAGGGGUACCAGGAGAGCUCUCUCUACGUUCUCUUCAUCAAGAAAGGCCGGAUGCUACCACCACCCCAUGCUCUAGUAGUUUCCGAUGGAGGAGAGGAAACAGCACAAGAACACGAACCCUAG
RNAcentral lists this ribosomal RNA (867 nucleotides) under Triticum aestivum (bread wheat). Its description in RNAcentral is "partial small subunit ribosomal RNA". The record is from RNAcentral. Lineage: Eukaryota; Viridiplantae; Streptophyta; Magnoliopsida; Poales; Poaceae.